AGUGAACGCUGGCGGUAGGCCUAACACAUGCAAGUCGAACGGCAGCACAGUAAGAGCUUGCUCUUACGGGUGGCGAGUGGCGGACGGGUGAGGAAUACAUCGGAAUCUACUUUUUCGUGGGGGAUAACGUAGGGAAACUUACGCUAAUACCGCAUACGACCUACGGGUGAAAGCAGGGGAUCUUCGGACCUUGCGCGAUUGAAUGAGCCGAUGUCGGAUUAGCUAGUUGGCGGGGUAAAGGCCCACCAAGGCGACGAUCCGUAGCUGGUCUGAGAGGAUGAUCUGCCACACUGGAACUGAGCCACGGUCCAGACUCCUACGGGAGGCAGCAGUGGGGAAUAUUGGACAAUGGGCGCAAGCCUGAUCCAGCCAUACCGCGAGGGUGAAGAAGGCCUUCGGGUUGUAAAGCCCUUUUGUUGGGAAAGAAAAGCAGCAGGUUAAUACCCCGCUGUUCUGACGGUACCCAAAGAAUAAGCACCGGCUAACUUCGUG
This 492-nucleotide ribosomal RNA is filed under the name uncultured bacterium. RNAcentral's name for it is "partial 16S ribosomal RNA". It matches the Rfam family "Bacterial small subunit ribosomal RNA", at positions 29 to 507 of the family's 1533-position model. The record is from RNAcentral.